AGUAUUUGGAGCCCCGCCGGACCGUCGCAUUUCAGCCUCGGAUGCCGGCGCGAUGCCUCUGUUCACAGCCAACCCGUUCGAUCAUGACGUGGGUCAGAAGAUCAUGUUGGAUCACCUGGCAUUGCUGUUACAGAGUCGGAUGAGCCACCAUAUGAACUGAGCCAUCUCUCCAGCCCAAGACAGG
Molecule: non-coding RNA, 184 nt
Organism: Cricetulus griseus (Chinese hamster)
Lineage: Eukaryota; Metazoa; Chordata; Mammalia; Rodentia; Cricetidae
Source: RefSeq, a predicted model, not a curated record